UGAGCAAUCUGCCCUUCUCAUCGGAAUAAGCGUUGGAAACGACGUCUAAUGCCGAAUACGACCUCCUUUCGCAUGAUCGGAGGUGGAAAGCUCCGGCGGAGAAGGAUGAGCUCGCGGCCUAUCAGCUUGUUGGUGGGGUAACGCCCACCAAGGCGACGACGGGUAGCUGGUCUGAGAGGACGACCAGCCACACUGGAACUGAGAUACGGUCCAGACUCCUACGGGAGCAG
Molecule: ribosomal RNA, 230 nt
Filed under: uncultured bacterium
Lineage: Bacteria
Description: partial 16S ribosomal RNA
Rfam family: Bacterial small subunit ribosomal RNA
Source: RNAcentral